GGUUCUAUGGUGUAAUGGUUAGCACUUUGGACUUUGAAUCCAACAAUCCGAGUUCAAGUCUCGGUAGAACCU
Molecule: transfer RNA, 72 nt
Organism: Folsomia candida
Lineage: Eukaryota; Metazoa; Arthropoda; Collembola; Entomobryomorpha; Isotomidae
Rfam family: tRNA
About the family: Transfer RNA (tRNA) molecules are approximately 80 nucleotides in length. Their secondary structure includes four short double-helical elements and three loops (D, anti-codon, and T loops).
Source: Rfam